Heterocephalus glaber (naked mole-rat) is the source of this 6758-nucleotide non-coding RNA. NCBI's taxonomy places the organism in Eukaryota, Metazoa, Chordata, Mammalia, Rodentia, Bathyergidae. The record is from RefSeq and is a predicted model, not a curated record.
GUGCCGCACGCCGCUCAAGUCUGGGAGCGGACGGUUCCUACUGCGGCUGGGCACCGGCUCGGCUCCGCGUCGGCCCGAGGUCUAGCUGCGCCCGGCCUGACACCGGCCCGGCUCCGCUCGGCCCCAGCCUCUGAGCGAAGGGGCCGCUGCCGCUGGGCUACUCCCAGGGCCAUGAGGAGGCGGCGGCAGCCACCGGGGCCCGCUUCAAGGUGACCGGCCGGGACUGCGGCGGUGGCGGACUCCUCUAGGCAGGUUAUGUCACCAGCAGAGGCUGCCCUGAAGCUCCCUGCGGCCUGGAGACUAUGUACAAGAGGAAUGGUCUGAUGGCUAGCGUGUUGGUCACCUCUGCCACUCCACAGGGCAGCAGCAGCUCAGACUCUCUCGAGGGCCAGAGCUGCGACUAUGCCAGCAAGAGCUACGAUGCCGUUGUCUUCGAUGUCUUGAAAGUGACUCCUGAGGAGUUUGCUAGCCAGAUCACACUAAUGGACAUCCCUGUGUUUAAAGCCAUCCAGCCGGAGGAACUAGCCAGCUGUGGAUGGAGUAAAAAGGAGAAGCAUAGUCUCGCCCCCAAUGUCGUGGCCUUUACCCGGAGGUUUAACCAGGUCAGUUUUUGGGUUGUACGAGAAAUUCUAACAGCACAGACUUUAAAAAUAAGGGCAGAAAUCCUGAGCCAUUUUGUGAAAAUAGCCAAGAAACUUCUAGAACUCAACAACCUUCAUUCUCUCAUGUCUGUGGUGUCAGCAUUACAAAGUGCUCCCAUCUUUAGGCUGACAAAGACCUGGGCUCUUUUGAAUCGAAAAGACAAGACCACCUUUGAGAAAUUGGACUACCUGAUGUCCAAAGAGGAUAAUUACAAGCGGACUCGGGAAUAUAUCCGAAGCCUGAAGAUGGUGCCCAGUAUUCCCUAUCUAGGGAUCUAUCUUCUGGAUUUGAUCUACAUUGAUUCAGCAUAUCCUGCCUCAGGCAGUAUUAUGGAAAACGAACAAAGGUCCAAUCAGAUGAACAAUAUUCUCCGAAUAAUUGCUGAUUUACAAGUUUCCUGCAGCUAUGAUCACCUCACCACCCUGCCGCAUGUGCAGAAGUACUUGAAGUCCGUACGAUACAUUGAAGAGCUUCAGAAGUUUGUGGAAGACGAUAACUACAAACUGUCGCUCAGAAUAGAACCAGGAAGCAGCUCUCCAAGACUAGUCUCUUCCAAGGAAGAUCUUGCAGGCCCCUCUGUGGGCUCCAGCUCAGCGCGCUUCCGCCGGAGACCCACCUGCCCUGAUGCAUCCGUGGCCGGCAGCCUCCCCACACCACCAGUCCCUCGACACAGGAAGAGUCACAGCCUGGGCAACAAUAUGAUGUGUCAGUUGAGUGUAGUUGAGAGUAAAAGUGCGACAUUCCCAUCGGAGAAAGCCAGGCACCUUCUGGAUGACAGUGUCCUAGAGUCCCGCAGUCCCCGCAGGGGCCUCGCCCUCACCUCCUCCACCGUCACCAAUGGACUCUCCCUAGGCAGUAGUGAGAGCUCAGAGUUUAGUGAAGAGAUGUCUUCAGGGCUGGAAAGCAGGGGACGUCUCUAUGCCACCCUAGGACCCAACUGGCGGGUUCCAGUUCAGAAUUCUCCCCGAACCCGGAGCUGUGCUUACAGCCCCACCAGCCCAUGCACCUGUACCCUGGGAAGCUCAGCAGCUGUGCCCACCAUGGAGGGGCCUCUAAGAAGGAAAACCCUGCUCAAGGAAGGACGGAAGCCCGCACAGUGUCCUAAAAUGAGUGGAGGAAAGCACACGGAUGAGGAUCAGGAGGACUUUCACCACCAGCCUCCAGUGCUGAACCCAGAUGUCGCCAGCUCCAUGACCCCAUGUGACAGAACUUCAGCCCCUUGCACAACAAGUUGCCCCAAGCCAUCCUUGUCCUCCUGGACCAGGUACUGGGUCAUACUCUCAGGAUCCACCCUCCUGUACUACGGAGCCAAGUCCUUGCGAGGCACAGACAGAAAACAUUAUAAAUCCACACCUGGCAAAAAGGUCUCCAUCAUGGGCUGGAUGGUGCAGCUGCCUGAUGACCCUGAGCACCCGGAUAUCUUCCAGCUGAACAACCCUGACAAAGGAACCAUAAGCUACUCCUGAGCCUGACCCCAGAGGAAAACAGGAUCCCCAAGCAGAAGGAAAUGUGACACGAGGGUUGGCCAGAGUCCAUGUGUAGAAUUUGAAGGAUCUGUGAACUUGGACGAGGACAGAAAAAUCACAUCUUUGUCUUCAGUAACUUCUGUUUCCAUCAUGAAUAUAGGCAAUGUUUACAAGUUUCAGACUGGCUCCCGAUUCCACGCAAUACUGUGGCACAAGCAUUUGGAUGAUGCAUGUAAAAGCAACAGGCCUCAGGUACCUGCAAACCUUAUGUCAUUUGAAUAAGUCUCUGCAGGACUUGGCGUGACCGAAAAGGCUUCUGGGAGCCCAGACUGGGCCUGGUGGAGGAGAGCAGCCCUGGGCACAGGCUGUGAGCCAGGAUGCUGGGAGCCUCACAGCCAGACUCAGGGGACAUGGCCUUCGGCCUCACAGUCCCAGAGGGCUCCCCAGUGCAGGAUCCACCUGUCGGUUCCCAAUGACUCUCACAACUCAUUCUGCGGCACCACCUCGAAGGGCACUGGUCAGACCCCAGACUGCACACCCCCACCCCUCUCUGGACCUCGUCUGUCCAACAGCUUCUUCUGCGACUAGACAGCAUUUGGCCCACGUUGGGUUCUCCGUCCUUCCUGCUGCACACAGAGUGGACAGCAUUCACCUGCAAAUGGGGCCAGACAGCAGGGACAGGCCUGUCACACCCCAAGUGCAUGGGGCUGCUCACCCACUGGGCUGCCUCAGAUUUUGUACAACCCCUGAAGCGUCCUCUAUGUGUGUGUGCCGUACAUGUGUGUGUGGGAGCGAGAGUGAAAUCUCCAAGAAACAUGCAUUUUGGCACAAGACUUGUGACAUCACACACUUCAUUUGCUUUUUGAGGCCCUGCUUAAACCUUCAGUGAUAGCCUUGUCCACCAAGAAAGGUCAGAGUGGGAGCCCAGAUGCCCCUGUGUUAGGGUCCCUUGCGUUCUUUUACUGUAAACAAACAAUGCCUUAAAUCGUGUCUUGUUUUCUGUUCCUAUGGGUGCUAUUUAUCUGGAAGGCCUGCUCCCUGGGCCCUGGGCCCCUUCCAGGCCUUGUUGCUGUCAGCCCUGCUGAGGCAGGACCUGGUCCUGGACUACAGGCUGGACCACUGGCCUGCUCCCACCAUGCCCGCAUGAGAAGUUGUGGCAUUUUCUCCCAGCAUCCUCAGAGCAGCUCAGAAGCUACCAUGCUCACAGUGAUCAGCCACACAGAAGUCACUUACACCAACCUCGCUGUGCAGGGCACAGGGCUUCCCUCGGUCAUCUCACCCCUUCGCCUCCACUGCCAGGGCGGGCCCCGCUGGGAUUCCUGAUCACAAUGGGAGCUGAGUGACACUGAGGCCUUACGCUCCCCCAGUCUUGCCUCCAGUUGCAGUCACCAGCAAGUUCUCCAAGUCCAAGGGCACAAUUGGUGAUGACCAGUGACAAGAAAGCCAAGCUCUGGGGAGUGAACAUCCAACGUGUGCAUUUUCAGAAGAGCCCUUCCUGUGAACAAUGACCUUUAUUUGUCACCUUUUGUCAUACUUUAAAGGGACUUUUACUUUGCACAAAUACAUUCUUAGUGAAAGUGAAUUGCUCUUUAUCAUCAUAUCCUCCCUCUCUCUAUCCCUCUCCACCCAAUUUUAUUUGGAUCUCCUAGUCCUGAGAAGGAGAUCCUUAAACCAUUUUAUGAAAGAGACUGAAUUUCUGGGUCCUUGUCCCUUUUGUGGUUUCAGAACUCACAAUAACCAAGCAUCAAACUACCCUGAAGAUUUUUUUGGUGAGAAGCUUCAAAACAGCAUCUGAAGUAGUAAACUGUAACAGAUCAAUUGAAAAACUACCAAAAGACCCAUCACUGUAUGUUGAUCAAAUGAUGACAACUUCUCUGAAAAUUUAAAUGAAUUGGUGACAAAAAUAGUUGUCAUCAGGGUGCUGCUUUAUGGUUGAGCCUCACAGUGCUCAGAAGCUAACCCUCUUUUGGAGCAAAGACUGGACACUUUUAUCCCAAGAGAAACUCUAGAAGGGAAAGUUAAUGCCGUUGACCACAGCUGCCUUGCGCACCCACCUAUACCCGGGGUCCACAUAUGUGCACUCGAUUCUACCAACUACUUCAAAUUGAUAUCCAAGGCUAAGUGACAGCGCCAAGCACUGCAGACACCUCUGACCGGAACUGUGUGGUGCUCACACUACAGCCAAUGUUAAGCCCCAGCCUCCCCGUUAACUUCUAAAAUGUCUUAAGCUUGGAUGAAACUACAAGACUGGAACAGGAGCUACUUAUUUUCCUUGGCUUUCUCCACUCGCUAACCCUAUCCUGGUUUUUCACACAUGAAAUAUUACACAUGCCAAUCCAAAAGCCCCAGAACUUCAGGCUCUACUAAACCAGAUAAUCUUCUACCCUUUCCAAAUUCUUCUUCUCUUUCACAAACAUUUUCUUCUGGGCCUAAUUUGAAAGAGCACAGUCACAGUUUUUUCAGUGUUUAGUCUUCUCACUAACAGAGACUGAUCCCACAUGCCCUCCCAGAAACUUGAAGAAUCUGUCUGGGCUUUGUUGGCAAAAGCCUUGUAGCACUAGGAGCCCUGAACACCUCAGAAGAGCCCUGGAGAUGAAGCUGAAAGAUAACUGACUCUCCAAGCAGGGAUUCAGGCCAGCCCUGUGACUUCAGUGCUUAUUGUCUUCCAGUGCUGGUUUGUCCCUCAAGCUGCAGGUUGGGAGGCCUGCAAGCUAAGGACAGAGAGGACCAGGCACAGAUCACAGAGGAGGAGGUCCUAGGGUGGAUUCUCAUCUUGGAGGGAAGUGUUUUCUCGUUUUUGCUCCUUGACUGUUCCUAGUGCACAAAUACUUGUGAAACUUGAAGGUACUAUGUCUUGCAUGCAUAUACUGUCAUUUUGUCUCAGCAAACAGACUGUGGCAUCCCAAAAUGAGAGUUGUAGAAUGGUGUCUACAAACUGGAUUAGGUAGCUGGCAGCAUCGAGUGUUCCAAGAAGAGCCCAUUCAGUCAUAUUGUCCUGGGAGUACUUUACGCCCCUCUUAGUUGAGCACAUUUUGUAACCCAAGGUCGCCAAAGUGCACUCUGGCAAAUGAAUAUUCUGUGGAUGGAUUUGGUGGAGAGUCCUAGUUCUGAAUGUGUCCAAGGAGAGCACAGCAGCCUUCCCUCCCCUGACCAGAUUCCCUUUCAGUACCCCGUCGGGUGGAGGUGCUGAAGAGGUAAGACCCUUGAAGGAAUCUUUUAGCAAAGAACCUACUCUGACUGCCAACUGAUUUCUAAAACAUUUCUUUUUCUUACCAACAUGUGACUCCCACCUCCCAAGCCCCAAAAGGUGUAUCUUUGAGGAUGCCAUUUUCAGGUUAAAAAGUGGUCUAUGAGAAUGGAAAACCAUCUGCAAGCCAAGCCUGCUUUAUUAAAGAUCAGUAGGGUCCGGAGCUCUGCACCCACAUUGCUGAUGCUCGCAGCCACCAGGUGACCAUUGCCAAAAACAGCGUCACUUUUGUGUGUGAUCUCAUAAAUAACUUUAAUCAGCCCCACAUCACAUUGGCAUAGCGUGUAAUUUCAUGUUUAAAAAAAGAGUCCCUUUGAAAUAAUAGGUUCUCUGAGAAAACACCCAUUCAUUCAUUCAUUCUAAUUUCUAGUGAGUGCUUCCCAUGUGCCAGGUUGUUCCAGGAUAUAAAUGGCUGAAAACAAGACAGAUCCAGUCUCUGCUCUCAUGGAGCUGACUGCUGAACAAAUAAUGAACAAAUAAUCCUGACUCCCAUGCAUCUCCUAGAGCGAGACCCUGCCUCUCCCUUAGCCCGGGGUACAAAUCCUGUGCACAGAUUCUCCUAGAAAGGCUUCGAAAGGCCCACCAGACUGAACAAUCUUGCUGUUAAGUGCAGUUGAGGUGGGACUAGGUGGAGUCCGAGAGCCAGGCACAGAGCUGUGGUUGAGUACACAAGGGACUCCAGAGAGACUGAGAGUAGGGUCAGGAGAUCCGCAGUAUUUGUUUCCUAGGCUUCUGUCCUUAACUUCAGUGUUAAAUUGAAGUACAGUAUAAGCGAGAGCUGCAUUCUCUUGGGUGUUGAGAAUUUGUACAGUGGAUGUUAGUUCACCUCCGAGCCUGCGGCCACACCAGUGGACAGCCCAGGUAUCCCUGCUCAUAGCAGCAAUGCGACAGAUCAUCUGUCCAUCAACCUAUCCAUUUCUGAACGACUGUGACCAUUCAGUAAUGAAAUAAUAUUCAUUAAUUUAUUACUAUGGUAUAAUCCUUAAUAAAUUUCGUGCCAAAAUGCAUCGUUUUCCACUAAGCAUUCAAAAUGUUGUGUAGAGAGUAGUUUUCAAUUUCUUAUAUAUUCUUCCACGUAAGUUGGAAAAUCAAUUUCUACGUUUUAGUUGGUUUCUUGUUAAAUCUGUUUCAUUCUCCCAGGCUGUCCUUUUUUCCAGCAGACCCUGCAUGCACUUGUAAAGGACUUUAUCUAAUACUUGUGAAUUGUCUCACCUCUGUAACCACUGAACAUCAGCCCUCUGUGGGAUUCUUUAGAUUUUUGGUGAAGUAUUUUGUUACCUCAGUCUUGUAUCAAGUUGAUGUAUUUUUCAGCUUGUUACACUGAUAAUAAUUGUUUCACUAAUUAAAUACUUUAAUGUACAGACAUCUUUGUUUACUUUGAAAUUAAAUGUGUUUUCCAAUGA